Molecule: ribosomal RNA, 629 nt
Filed under: uncultured Bacteroidales bacterium
Lineage: Bacteria; Pseudomonadati; Bacteroidota; Bacteroidia; Bacteroidales
Description: bacterial SSU rRNA
Rfam family: Bacterial small subunit ribosomal RNA
Source: RNAcentral
GAUGGCGACCGGCGCACGGGUGAGUAACACGUAUCCAACCUUCCGUUUACUCGGGGAUAGCCUUUCGAAAGAAAGAUUAAUACCCGAUGGUAUGGUGAAGUUGCAUGAUUGCACCAUUAAAGAUUAAUCGGUAAACGAUGGGGAUGCGUUCCAUUAGGUAGUAGGCGGGGUAACGGCCCACCUAGCCGGCGAUGGAUAGGGGUUCUGAGAGGAAGGUCCCCCACAUUGGAACUGAGACACGGUCCAAACUCCUACGGGAGGCAGCAGUGAGGAAUAUUGGUCAAUGGGCGAGAGCCUGAACCAGCCAAGUAGCGUGAAGGAUGAAGGUCCUACGGAUUGUAAACUUCUUUUAUAAGGGAAUAAACGAGCCUACGUGUAGGUUUUUGCAUGUACCUUAUGAAUAAGCAUCGGCUAACUCCGUGCCAGCAGCCGCGGUAAUACGGAGGAUGCGAGCGUUAUCCGGAUUUAUUGGGUUUAAAGGGAGCGCAGACGGGAGAUUAAGUCAGCUGUGAAAGUUUGGGGCUCAACCUUAAAAUUGCAGUUGAAACUGGUUUUCUUGAGUGCGGUCGAGGUAGGCGGAAUUCGUGGUGUAGCGGUGAAAUGCUUAGAUAUCACGAAGAACUCCGAUU